Molecule: ribosomal RNA, 1384 nt
Filed under: Sutterella wadsworthensis
Lineage: Bacteria; Pseudomonadati; Pseudomonadota; Betaproteobacteria; Burkholderiales; Sutterellaceae
Description: partial 23S ribosomal RNA
Rfam family: Bacterial large subunit ribosomal RNA
Source: RNAcentral
AGCUGAAACUGCAUGGCCAGGCGUGGUGUUGCCCCGAGUAGGGCCGGGCUCGUGGAAUCCGGUGUGAAUCUGCCAGGACCACCUGGUAAGCCUAAAUACUUCCUUGUGACCGAUAGCGGACUAGUACCGUGAGGGAAAGGUGAAAAGUACCCCGGGAGGGGAGUGAAAGAGUACCUGAAACCGUGUGCUUACAAUCCGUCGGAGCCUUGAGGGGUGACGGCGUGCCUAUUGAAAAAUGAGCCUGCGAGUUAGUGGUCGGUGGCGAGGUUAACCUGUGUGGGGUAGCCGUAGCGAAAGCGAGUCUGAAUGGGGCGUUGAGUCGCCGGCUCUAGACCCGAAGCGAAGUGAUCUAUCCAUGGGCAGUGUGAAGCGCGGGUAAGACCGUGUGGAGGCGCGAACCCACUUCAGUUGAAAAUGGAGGGGAUGACCUGUGGAUAGGGGUGAAAGGCCAAUCAAACUUCGUGAUAGCUGGUUCUCCCCGAAAUGCAUUUAGGUGCAGCGUUGCGUGUUUCGUGCUGGAGGUAGAGCACUGGAUAGGCGAUGGGCCCCACCGGGUUACUGACCUUAGCCAAACUCCGAAUGCCGGUACGUGAGAGCGCAGCAGUGAGACUGUGGGGGAUAAGCUUCAUGGUCGAGAGGGAAACAGCCCAGAACAUCAGCUAAGGCCCCUAAGCGUGUGCUAAGUGGGAAAGGAUGUGGAGUUGCUGAGACAACCAGGAGGUUGGCUUAGAAGCAGCCACCCUUGAAAGAGUGCGUAAUAGCUCACUGGUCAAGUGAUUCUGCGCCGAUAAUGUAGCGGGGCUCAAGUACACCGCCGAAGCUGUGUCACUCCACUUUUGUGGGGUGGGUAGGGGAGCGUCGUGUGGCCGGUGAAGCUGCGGGGGAACCCAGUGGUGGAGGCUAUGCGAGUGAGAAUGCAGGCAUGAGUAGCGAAAGACGGGUGAGAAACCCGUCCUCCGAAUGAUCAAGGGUUCCGGGGCUAGGUUAAUCCGCCCCGGGUUAGUCGGGACCUAAGGCGAGGCCGACAGGCGUAGUCGAUGGAUAACGGGUUGAUAUUCCCGUACCGAUAGUGUGAGGACCCAUACCGAGGCGUGUGAUGCUAACCACCCGAGCUGCUGCUUCCUUCCCUUUGGGUUGGUUGUUGGUGGUGAGGCUGGGAACCAAGUGCGUAGUAGGUCAGCGUGUGGGAUGACGCAGUGAGGUAGCUUCCGCGGGGUAAUGGUUGUCCCCGUUCAAGCGAGCAGCCCGAGUGCGAGUAAUGUUGUGCUCUUGUGGGUGAGUCGUGAUGAGGACCCUUUAUUGGGGUAGGUGGGUGAUCCUGGACUGCCGAGAAAAGUUCCGGCGUGACGAGCACUAUUGCCCGUACCCUAAACCGACUCAGGUG